GGGUCCGGACACACUGAGGAUUGACAGGCAAUUAUUGCUAACAGUGUCUUUUUUUUUUAAAAGUACUGUUGCAACAACAAAUAUGCUAGUCCUUUCAUGAUUAUGUGAUAGGUGGUGCAUGGCCGUUCUUAGUUCGUGGAGUGAUCUGUCUGCUUAAUUGCGUUUCAUUAUGGACCAUGUUAUAACAUGUACUAUCUCUUGAUUUUCAAAUUUUCAUUUAUUUGAGAUUUGUUAUAAAGAAGGAGUUUUGGUGCAAUUGGUCCUGAAAGCAACGAACGUGACCGCAUCCUCUUGUUGCCUUUUUAACUUGGCAUUUUUUUUAAUUUAUUUUAACAUUUUUGUCAUAACAUAAGAGGCUUUCAGAAAACUAGAGGGACCGCUGCGACUUUUUUAAACCAGAGGAAGGUUGCGGCAAUAACAGGUCUGUGAUGCCCUUAGAUGUUCCGGGCUGCACACGUGCUACAAUGAUUAUUGCAGUGAGCAUCUCAUUUUAUUUUUUGUGCUUGUCUUGUCUGCGAGUUUAUUCUCAACGACGACAGCCUUAGCCUGCUUCGAAAGUUCGCAGGU
This 567-nucleotide ribosomal RNA is filed under the name Leptammina flavofusca. RNAcentral describes it as "partial 18S ribosomal RNA". The stretch from base 1 to 463 matches the Rfam family "Eukaryotic small subunit ribosomal RNA", at positions 1220 to 1501 of the family's 1831-position model. Lineage: Eukaryota; Foraminifera; Astrorhizida; Saccamminidae. The record is from RNAcentral.